RNAcentral lists this transfer RNA (143 nucleotides) under Methanothermobacter sp. MT-2. RNAcentral describes it as "tRNA-Trp". It matches the Rfam family "tRNA". Rfam says of the family: Transfer RNA (tRNA) molecules are approximately 80 nucleotides in length. Their secondary structure includes four short double-helical elements and three loops (D, anti-codon, and T loops). Further hydrogen bonds mediate the characteristic L-shaped molecular structure. tRNAs have two regions of fundamental functional importance: the anti-codon, which is responsible for specific mRNA codon recognition, and the 3' end, to which the tRNAs corresponding amino acid is attached (by aminoacyl-tRNA synthetases). tRNAs cope with the degeneracy of the genetic code in two manners: having more than one tRNA (with a specific anti-codon) for a particular amino acid; and 'wobble' base-pairing, i.e. permitting non-standard base-pairing at the 3rd anti-codon position. Lineage: Archaea; Methanobacteriati; Methanobacteriota; Methanobacteria; Methanobacteriales; Methanobacteriaceae. The record is from RNAcentral.
GGGGUCAUGGUGUAACCAGGCUAUCAUCUAGGACUCCAGUUGUCUUUGAAGAAAAGCGCGCUCCUGACACUUUAGAUGAUGAACAACUGGAGUGCUGAGGCAAGAGAAAUCCUAGGAUCUGGGUUCAAAUCCCAGUGACCCCA